CCUACGGGUGGCAGCAGUAGUGAAUUUUCGUCAAUGGGCGCAAGCCUGAACGAGCAAUGCCGCGUGAACGAGGAAGGUCCUCGGAUCGUAAAGUUCCGUUGAAGGGGAAAAAGAGCGGAGAGCGGAAAUGAACUCCGCUUGAUAUUACCCUUCGAGGAAGUCACGGCUAACUACGUGCCAGCAGCCGCGGUAAUACGUAGGUGGCGAGCGUUAUCCGGAAUGAUUGGGCGUAAAGGGUGCGUAGGCGGCCUGCUAAGUCUGGAGUGAAAGGUACCGGCUCAACCGGUAUAGGCUCUGGAAACUGGCGGGCUAGAGAGCAGGAGAGGGCGGUGGAACUCCAGGUGUAGCGGUAAAAUGCGUAGAUAUAUGGAAGAACACCAGUGGCGAAGGCGGCCGCCUGGCCUGUUACUGACGCUGAGGCACGAAAGCGUGGGGAGCAAAUAGGAUUAGAUACCCGGGUAGUC
RNAcentral lists this ribosomal RNA (464 nucleotides) under uncultured bacterium. RNAcentral describes it as "partial 16S ribosomal RNA". It matches the Rfam family "Bacterial small subunit ribosomal RNA", at positions 338 to 795 of the family's 1533-position model. The record is from RNAcentral.